UUGAGAAUGUAAGUUUAGCACUAGAAUUGAAAAACAACAAUGCUAUUACACUUUUUUUUUCAUUUUCAUAUGGAACAAAAUUGGAAGGGAAUAUUUUCAGGAAAUGUUUACAAGGAACAACUCUACACUACACUCCUAUAGCGUCUAUAUGAACCAACACCAAGUUAAUAUUUAAUUUUUUUUUUUUAAAAAAAAAAAAGUUNN
RNAcentral lists this long non-coding RNA (204 nucleotides) under Trifolium pratense (red clover). RNAcentral describes it as "long non-coding RNA (TPRA_LNC003082)". The record is from RNAcentral. Lineage: Eukaryota; Viridiplantae; Streptophyta; Magnoliopsida; Fabales; Fabaceae.